Molecule: long non-coding RNA, 878 nt
Filed under: Monodelphis domestica (gray short-tailed opossum)
Lineage: Eukaryota; Metazoa; Chordata; Mammalia; Didelphimorphia; Didelphidae
Description: lncRNA (ENSMODG00000050231.1)
Source: RNAcentral
CCUCCCUUGACUCCACCCCCACUCUGGAAUGUUCUGGAAUGUUCCUCCCACUGUUGUUGUUGCUUGAUAUAGAAUAAUUCAAUAUUCUUCUAAGGCUUGGGUUACAUCCCAACAAAGGGUGCCAAUGGGGAGGGGGCCAUGUUAAUCCCUAAAAACUAAAGGAUUUCAGUCGGAAGUGACUUCACAAAUUGGCUAGUUCAUUUUAUGUCAAAACAGAAACCUCCUCUUCAACAUAUCUGACAAAUAUUUAACCAGCCUUUCCUGGGAGACUGCUAGUGAUAAGGAACUCACUACCUCAUAAGACUACCUUCAGAAAGGCGGCUCUUUCCUGUCACCAGCACCAUUUUCAUCGAUGCUAGCCUCACUCACUGGCUAUUUUAUUGUGUGGGCUGUGAAUGAAGAAACGCUUCAUUGACAACCGGGUGCUCUGGAAGGCCGCGCUCUGUGGCUUGCCUGCUUUCUCCUACAAUCGCGGCCCAUUUGGAAGAACAACAUAUCCCAAGUUGUUAGUCUUCAGGAACAAAUUGAGAAAGCUGAAUGGUAAGACCAUUGCAUAGCCUCCUCUGAGUGUUCUGAGAUUGGUCCCUCCUUUGGAAUCCCAAUCCUUCCUAACAUAUUAGAGGUAGUAAAAAGUUCAUCGUGCUAGAUGCCACGAGACCCAACUUCCAGAACCAUGCAUACAUAACUUACUACUUGGAGAAAUUGUUUAUUAUUUUUAGACCACAGUUUGCUCAUUUUUGAAAUGGAGUUAAUAUUACUUGUUUUUCCAAACUCACAAAGUUGUGGUAACGAUGAAAUAAGAUAAAAAUUAUAAAAAACAAUUUGAAAAAACUUAAUUAUACAAUAAAAGCUAGCAUUUAUAUAGUACUUUAUAGGUU